RNAcentral lists this ribosomal RNA (781 nucleotides) under uncultured bacterium. RNAcentral describes it as "bacterial SSU rRNA". It matches the Rfam family "Bacterial small subunit ribosomal RNA", at positions 69 to 856 of the family's 1533-position model. The record is from RNAcentral.
GCCCCGAGCGAUCGGGGCACCGGCGGACGGGUGCGUAACGCGUACACAACGUGCCUCUGACAGGGGGACAGCACCGGGAAACUGGUGGUAAUACCCCAUGAGAUCGCGGGCCGGCAUUGGCCUGCGAUGAAAGUUUCGGCGGUCAGAGAUCGGUGUGCGUCUGAUUAGCUAGUUGGCGGGGUAACGGCCCACCAAGGCGACGAUCAGUAGGGGGUGUGAGAGCACGGCCCCCCACAUGGGUACUGAGACACGGACCCAACUCCUACGGGAGGCAGCAGUAAGGAAUAUUGGACAAUGGCCGGAAGGCUGAUCCAGCCAUGCCGCGUGCAGGAAGAAGGCGCUCAGCGUUGUAAACUGCUUUUGGGCGGGAAUAAUGAUCCCGAUGUAUCGGGACUUGAAGGUACCGCCAGAAUAAGCACCGGCUAACUCCGUGCCAGCAGCCGCGGUAAUACGGAGGGUGCGAGCGUUAUCCGGAAUCACUGGGUUUAAAGGGUGCGUAGGCGGCGGGGUAAGUCAGUUGUGAAAUCUCUUGGCUCAACCAAUGAAAUUGCGAUUGAUACUGCCCUGCUUGAGACAGGUUGAGGUGGGCGGAAUGUGGCAUGUAGCGGUGAAAUGCAUAGAUAUGCCAUAGAACACCGAUUGCGAAGGCAGCCUGCUGGGCCUGAUUUGACGCUGAGGCACGAAAGCGUGGGGAGCAAACAGGAUUAGAUACCCUGGUAGUCCACGCCCUAAACGAUGUUUACUUGCUGUUCCUGCCUUGAGCGGGAGUGGCGCAGCGAAA